Rhopilema esculentum is the source of this 2008-nucleotide non-coding RNA. The record is from RefSeq and is a predicted model, not a curated record. Lineage: Eukaryota; Metazoa; Cnidaria; Scyphozoa; Rhizostomeae; Rhizostomatidae.
CAAGUGGGUUAGUGGGAACGCGACGCAGAAACGGAUAACUUUUAACCCGGAUAUGUUUUAACCCAGGCCAGUGGAAAGACUGCCUAAGCUUUGAGACCUGACAGAUAUGUACAUAUCUCACGAUUUAUCUCAGCAAGAACGAAUUAAGUUGUUAUCAUGUUAAUACAGCGAUAACACGAGGCAUGGACUUACAUGAAAUCAAACUUGCUAUCUAAGACCAGAACGACCAAACUAGUUAUAAAAAAGGGUCUUCCUACCUUAUUUGAAUCAAAAUUCGUACUCCAGUAAAAACCCUUUCCUUAUGACCCUUGAAAGCCCAAGUUGUUAAGGUUCAAAGAUACUUAUUUUCCAAUGAUUCUUUCAUUUAUUAAAUGAUUCAUCCAUGUCUUUAUCUACGUCAUUACGAGACUUCUAUUGCGGCCUAAAAAACCACCCAUCAACACAUUAAGAAAAGGUGAUAAAAACAGAUAAAAUAUCACUUGACUGUUUGCAAAAAAGAUCCCGACCUGAAGAAGAUGAUGGAAUAAAUUAUUAAUGAAUAUACACACAUCUGUGUUUAAGAUUAUCCCUGAUAUUGAUUUAAUAACAACACAGGUGAAACUCGGACCUUUAAAGGGGGUAAGGAAAUAAUCCGACCUAUCCAGGGUAUGACUUUUCACUUGAAAUACGGCGAGAAAAUCCAAUGGGAAGCGAAAAUCAGGCCGACCACGUGAAAGUCCGAGUAAUCCAGGGUAUGACUUUUGACUUGUAAUACGGCAGGAAAACCCAAUGGGAAGCGAAAGUCAGGCCGACUAAGUAAAAGUCUGAGAUAUCAAGGGUAUGGCUUAACGUGAUUCAAUUUUGGCAUUCUUUUGUUGCAUCCAAUUUUAAAAACUGUGGCUAUUUUACGAGAAGAAAAUCUCCCCUUUUGUGAAACCAGCUUGUCAGCCAAUAUAAAGUCGGAUUAAUUCUACACGACUUAACUCUUUUUUGGCACUGAGUGUUGGAUUACAAAUUCAAGUUAACAGAUUUAUAUAGAUGUAUUUAGCACAAGAAAUCGCAUUGAAUGCCUUGAUCGCUUACCCUACCUUUGAUAUGCCUCAUGAAGCGAAACAAAGCAUCAUCAAUCUCAACAGCAAUAUACUUAAUGACACUGCCAAACAGCCUGUUCUCAAAGCAAUACCACACUACAUCGUUGAGCACAUACAUGAGUGCUCUUGGAUCCGCAAGGCAACUCAACGAGUUCCAACCAUAGUGUUAUCUUACAUUGCCGUUGCAGCAAGAAAGAAAGUUAGUCGGUGCUCUUGGGAUAUAAAGCAACUGCCAAUGAAUCAACCUGCUGUGCGGGCUUAUCAAUUAUACAAUAUUAGGCUUAUCAAUUAUACAAUAUGAUCGUUAAUUCGAUUCGGUGGCAACUUUUUUCAUAUUGAUGGAUUGAACGUAUUCAAACAGGUUAUGCAAUAUUAAUUUCAAUACCACAUGACGUCACGCUUAGACGUCCUAAUAGGAAAAUGAUCCUUUCUACGGAACUCACGUUGUCAUUUUUAUGAAUAUGCGUUUUUUAUUGAUAAGGCAUUGCGGUGAACUUUCAAGGCCUUCGGUCUUCGCACGAUGUAACUGAAAACAUACGCGCUCAAAGAUAGCAAAAAUAUUCUAAAGUGCCCACAACAAAUAUUAGUUAGCUAAUAACGAGGAGGUUUUCAAGGAUCAUGGUGGGCCAUAGCAGAGAAAAGAGGUCGAGAAAAGACACUAAGAACAAGGCUGACAGCUUGGAGCGGUUAUAUGUAAAAGAGGGUCGCAAUUUUGAAGAAAAUAAAGUCUGGUGCUAAUAAGAAACUCCUGAAUAUAUUUGACAGUUUUUACACUAAAAAAGCUGUCAAUCAACGAAACAUCAUGAAGCACACGCACAGGCCGAGGAUUAGACAGCUGUCAAUCAAUAGUCUUCCAUUCAGCACUUUAGGUCAACAAAAUAUCAACAACAACUCUUUUGCAACUCUACCAUUCCUCUUUCACAUCUACAUUAGACUUU